AGAGUUUGAUCCUGGCUCAGGACGAACGCUGGCGGUGUGCUUCACACAUGCAAGUCGAACGAGAUAGCAAUAUCUAGUGGCGGACGGGUGAGUAACACGUGGGAAUCUGCCCUCAAGUGGUGAAUAACUAGCCGAAAGGUUAGCUAAUGUGCCAUAAGUCGAAAGAUGAAAGCAGCAAUGCGCUAGAGGAUGAGCCCGCG
RNAcentral lists this ribosomal RNA (200 nucleotides) under uncultured bacterium. Its description in RNAcentral is "partial 16S ribosomal RNA". It matches the Rfam family "Bacterial small subunit ribosomal RNA", at positions 8 to 235 of the family's 1533-position model. The record is from RNAcentral.